RNAcentral lists this ribosomal RNA (492 nucleotides) under uncultured bacterium. RNAcentral describes it as "partial 16S ribosomal RNA". It matches the Rfam family "Bacterial small subunit ribosomal RNA", at positions 29 to 507 of the family's 1533-position model. The record is from RNAcentral.
AGUGAACGCUGGCGGUAGGCCUAACACAUGCCAGUCGAACGGCAGCACAGUAAGAGCUUGCUCUUACGGGUGGCGAGUGGCGGACGGGUGAGGAAUACAUCGGAAUCUACUUUUUCGUGGGGGAUAACGUAGGGAAACUUACGCUAAUACCGCAUACGACCUACGGGUGAAAGCAGGGGAUCUUCGGACCUUGCGCGAUUGAAUGAGCCGAUGUCGGAUUAGCUAGUUGGCGGGGUAAAGGCCCACCAAGGCGACGAUCCGUAGCUGGUCUGAGAGGAUGAUCAGCCACACUGUAACUGAGACACGGUCCAGACUCCUACGGGAGGCAGCAGUGGGGAAUAUUGGACAAUGGGCGCAAGCCUGAUCCAGCCAUACCGCGUGGGUGAAGAAGGCCUUCGGGUUGUAAAGCCCUUUUGUUGGGAAAGAAAAGCAGCAGGUUAAUACCCCGCUGUUCUGACGGUACCCAAAGAAUAAGCACCGGCUAACUUCGUG